GGUCCGAACCCACGAGCGUUGAAAAGCUCGGGGAUGACUUGUGGGUAGCGGUGAAAUUCCAAUCGAGCCCGGAGAUAGCUGGUUCUCCCCGAAAUAGCUUUAGGGCUAGCCUCAAGGUGAGAGAUACGGAGGUAGAGCACUGAAUGUCCUAGGGGGUAUUGCACCUACCGAAGACUAUCAAACUCCGAAUGCCGUCAUCUUAUACUUGGGAGUCAGACUGUGGGUGAUAAGAUUCAUAGUCGAAAGGGCAACAGCCCAGAUCGUCAGCUAAGGUCCCUAAAUGUAAGUUCAGUGGUAAAGGAUGUGGGAUUGCACAGACAACCAGGAUGUUGGCUUAGAAGCAGCCACUCAUUCAAAGAGUGCGUAAUAGCUCACUGGUCGAGUGAUCCUGCGCCGAAGAUUUCCGGGGCUAAAACUUACUACCGAAGCUACGGCAUCAGUAAUGAUGGGUAGGGGAGCUUCCCAUACGGGUUGAAGCAUGACCGUAAGGACAUGUGGACAGUAUGGGAGUGAGAAUGUUGGCAUGAGUAGCGAGAUGUGGGUGAGAAUCCCACAGGCCGUAAACCCAAGGUUUCCAGGGGAAGGUUCGUCCGCCCGGGGUUAGUCGGGACCUAAGCUGAGGCCGAAAGGCGUAGGUGAUGGACAACAGGUUGAUAUUCCUGUACUACCGAUAACCGUUUGAGAGAAGGGAUGACACAGUAGGAUAAGCUAAGCACACUGUUGGUUAUGUGUGCCCAAGCAUUGAGGCAGUCAAAGUAGGCAAAUCCGCUUUGAUAAUGCUGGGAUGUGAUGGGGAGCGAAAUUUAGUAGCGAA
RNAcentral lists this ribosomal RNA (814 nucleotides) under Clostridioides difficile. RNAcentral's name for it is "bacterial LSU rRNA". It matches the Rfam family "Bacterial large subunit ribosomal RNA", at positions 771 to 1589 of the family's 2925-position model. The record is from RNAcentral. Lineage: Bacteria; Bacillati; Bacillota; Clostridia; Peptostreptococcales; Peptostreptococcaceae.